UCGAGUGUUUUGAUUGUUCUGC
RNAcentral lists this non-coding RNA (22 nucleotides) under Arabidopsis thaliana (thale cress). The record is from RNAcentral. Lineage: Eukaryota; Viridiplantae; Streptophyta; Magnoliopsida; Brassicales; Brassicaceae.